UUGCCUACGGGACGCAGCAGUGGGGAAUAUUGCACAAUGGGGGAAACCCUGAUGCAGCGACGCCGCGUGAGUGAAGAAGUAUUUCGGUAUGUAAAGCUCUAUCAGCAGGGAAGAUAAUGACGGUACCUGACUAAGAAGCCCCGGCUAACUACGUGCCAGCAGCCGCGGUAAUACGUAGGGGGCAAGCGUUAUCCGGAUUUACUGGGUGUAAAGGGAGCGUAGACGGCUGUGCAAGUCUGAAGUGAAAGCCCGUGGCUCAACCGCGGAACUGCUUUGGAAACUGUAUAGCUUGA
This 293-nucleotide ribosomal RNA is filed under the name uncultured bacterium. RNAcentral describes it as "partial 16S ribosomal RNA". It matches the Rfam family "Bacterial small subunit ribosomal RNA", at positions 335 to 645 of the family's 1533-position model. The record is from RNAcentral.